This 403-nucleotide ribosomal RNA is filed under the name uncultured bacterium. RNAcentral's name for it is "bacterial SSU rRNA". It matches the Rfam family "Bacterial small subunit ribosomal RNA", at positions 378 to 774 of the family's 1533-position model. The record is from RNAcentral.
CAAGCCUGAUCCAGCCAUGCCGCGUGGGUGAAGAAGGCCUUCGGGUUGUAAAGCCCUUUUGUUGGGAAAGAAAAGCAGCCGGCCAAUACCCGGUUGUUCUGACGGUACCCAAAGAAUAAGCCCCGGCUAACUUCGUGCCAGCAGCCGCGGUAAUACGUAGGGGGCUAGCGUUAUCCGGAUUUACUGGGCGUAAAGGGUGCGUAGGUGGUUUCUUAAGUCAGGAGUGAAAGGCUACGGCUCAACCGUAGUAAGCUCUUGAAACUGGGAAACUUGAGUGCAGGAGAGGAAAGUGGAAUUCCUAGUGUAGCGGUGAAAUGCGUAGAUAUUAGGAGGAACACCAGUAGCGAAGGCGGCUUUCUGGACUGUAACUGACACUGAGGCACGAAAGCGUGGGGAGCAAACA